This 150-nucleotide unclassified non-coding RNA is filed under the name uncultured Rhodotorula. RNAcentral's name for it is "sequence contains ITS1". Lineage: Eukaryota; Fungi; Basidiomycota. The record is from RNAcentral.
GUGAACAUAGGACGUCCAACUUAACUUGGAGUCCGAACUCUCACUUUCUAACCCUGUGCACUUGUUUGGGAUAGUAGUCGACCUAGUCGACGAACUCCUAUUCACUUACAAACACAAAGUCUAUGAAUGUAUUUAAUUUAUAACAAAAUA